This is a long non-coding RNA of Oncorhynchus nerka (sockeye salmon), 317 nucleotides long. RefSeq lists it as uncharacterized. Lineage: Eukaryota; Metazoa; Chordata; Actinopteri; Salmoniformes; Salmonidae. The record is from RefSeq and is a predicted model, not a curated record. The transcript is spliced from 3 exons.
AUUCCUUUAUGAGGUGCAACCAAAACAGUUGUUAGAAAGAGCAACCGGGAUAUUCUGGCAGGCUGUCGAGAAUUAGUUCUUGAAUACUGUUGUGGUUUUGAUCACUAAAAUGGCUGUGACUUUUGGACUCUCUUUGAGUGUUUCUUGGAUUUGUUGCCUGCUAAUUGGAGGGAUAACUUGUUUUACACUUAAAGGUAACGCUCAUGGGCAUCCUGCCUACACUGGACCUGAACCAACUGGAUCCUAUGCCCAAGCAAGUGCGGUGUCUGGUCCAAAUGCUAAAGCUACUGGCCACAAUGCCACGUCAGCAGAAGCUU